UCCUACGGGGGGCAGCAGUAGGAAAUUUUCGUCAAUGGGCGCAAGCCUGAACGAGCAAUGCCGCGUGAACGAGGAAGGUCUUCGGAUCGUAAAGUUCUGUUGAAGGGGAAAAAGAGCGGAGAGAGGAAAUGGUCUCCGAUUGAUAUUACCCUUCGAGGAAGUCACGGCUAACUACGUGCCAGCAGCCGCGGUAAUACGUAGGUGGCGAGCGUUAUCCGGAAUGAUUGGGCGUAAAGGGUGCGUAGGCGGCCUGCUAAGUCUGGAGUGAAAGGUACCGGCUCAACCGGUACAGGCUCUGGAAACUG
This 305-nucleotide ribosomal RNA is filed under the name uncultured bacterium. RNAcentral's name for it is "bacterial SSU rRNA". It matches the Rfam family "Bacterial small subunit ribosomal RNA", at positions 337 to 635 of the family's 1533-position model. The record is from RNAcentral.